AUGGGCGAAAGCCUGAUGCAGCGACGCCUCGUGAGGGAUGAAGGCCUUCGGGUUGUAAACCUCUUUCAGCAGGGAAGAAGCGCAAGUGACGGUACCUGCAGAAGAAGCGCCGGCUAACUACGUGCCAGCAGCCGCGGUAAUACGUAGGGCGCAAGCGUUGUCCGGAAUUAUUGGGCGUAAAGAGCUCGUAGGCGGUUUGUCGCGUCUGGUGUGAAAACUCGAGGCUCAACCUCGAGCUUGCAUCGGGUACGGGCAGACUAGAGUGCGGUAGGGGAGACUGGAAUUCCUGGUGUAGCGGUGGAAUGCGCAGAUAUCAGGAGGAACACCGAUGGCGAAGGCAGGUCUCUGGGCCGCAACUGACGCUGAGGAGCGAAAGCAUGGGGAGCGAACAGGAUUAGAUACCCUGGUAGUCCAUGCCGUAAACGUUGGGCACUAGGUGUGGGGCUCAUUCCACGAGUUCCGUGCCGCAGCAAACGCAUUAAGUGCCCCGCCUGGGGAGUACGGCCGCAAGGCUAAAACUCAAAGGAAUUGACGGGGGCCCGCACAAGCGGCGGAGCAUGCGGAUUAAUUCGAUGCAACGAAGAACCUUACCAAGGCUUGACAUGCACGGGAAGCCACCAGAGAUGGUGGUCUCU
This 635-nucleotide ribosomal RNA is filed under the name Cellulosimicrobium funkei. Its description in RNAcentral is "bacterial SSU rRNA". It matches the Rfam family "Bacterial small subunit ribosomal RNA", at positions 371 to 1017 of the family's 1533-position model. The record is from RNAcentral. Lineage: Bacteria; Bacillati; Actinomycetota; Actinomycetes; Micrococcales; Promicromonosporaceae.